This 240-nucleotide unclassified non-coding RNA is filed under the name soil metagenome. Its description in RNAcentral is "partial contains 5.8S ribosomal RNA, internal transcribed spacer 2, and large subunit ribosomal RNA". The record is from RNAcentral.
AACGGUCUAUACCUGCGGUACCUGCGGAGGGAUCAUUACUGAGUGAGGGCCCCUCGGGGUCCAACCUCCCACCCGUGUUUAACGAACCUUUGUUGCUUCGGCGGGCCCGCCUCACGGCCGCCGGGGGGCUCCUGCCCCCGGGCCCGCGCCCGCCGAAGCCCCCCCUUGAACGCUGUCUGAAGUUUGCAGUCUGAGAAACUAGCUAAAUUAGUUAAAACUUUUAGCAACGGAUCUCUAGAU